GAGGAUGGCAUCGUGUGACCAUGGCAAUGGGUGUUUUUGUGGGAGAAGCCGGAGUCCGACUCAGAACAAGAAGAAAGUCAGCAGCCAGGAAUGAACAUGGAUGUUUCUCAGUGGUUACAUGAAGACUACAGCAGCUUCCUGAGCCACUGUCAUGCAUGGUGGACCAUCCCGGCCUAGAACCUGUCUGCCUGAAUGUAUUUUCGCUGCAGAAUGCACUGAACAUUAAUCGGGCAGACUAUGGACCUUUACGUCUGAGGGGACUAGUGUAGUAAGCUCUUAGUCCAUACAUACAUCGCAAAAAUGUUAUGAUGAAAAGUACAUAACUGCUUCCUCUAUCUUACAUUGCUAAUAGUUUACUGUAUUUUACUUGCUGACAUGAAAAUCUAAUUGCCAUAGAUGUGAACACUGAGUGCUGGCUUUAUGUUGAAUUGUGUCCAGCCAACAUAGCCUACAGAAGCUUUGUAAGCUGGCGCUGGGGCGGAGAGUGAAAGUUGUGCUGCCUGUCUGCGUGGUGCUGAGGAUUUGUGCAAAGUUCCUGAACCUUGACACAUAACUGGCUAUAAUGUCCAGCUUGUCGGAUCAUACUGAGCCGAGAGGUCUUCAGGGAUUAUGAGUUUCAGCACCUUGUUCACAUAUGGGUCAGGGUCAUGGAAAUCCUCGAAGAUCAGGUCCAACAGUGCAUCAGUCUGCAGUGCAAUAAACAAAACAUAAUGUUUACAGGAAAUUGCACUAGAACCAAAAAGCCUUGUGUUGCAGUGUAACGUUUCUCUUAUUUCUCCUAAUUACUUCUUAUUUAUACAUUCCGCUUAUUAUUUAUUUUGAAAACCAUCUUAGAAUAAUUCUGAUUUUAUUUGUUAGUGUUUAUUUUCAACCUUUUGUGUUAUGCCUGUGUGUCCAUGCUUAUUUUAAUAUGUGGGGCUUAAAUAAAAGAUUGUAAAACUUA
This is a long non-coding RNA of Acanthopagrus latus (yellowfin seabream), 943 nucleotides long. RefSeq lists it as uncharacterized. NCBI's taxonomy places the organism in Eukaryota, Metazoa, Chordata, Actinopteri, Spariformes, Sparidae. The record is from RefSeq and is a predicted model, not a curated record. The transcript is spliced from 2 exons.